UACGUAGGGGGCGAGCGUUGUCCGGAAUCAUUGGGCGUAAAGCGCGUGUAGGCGGCCCGGUAAGUCCGCUGUGAAAGUCCAGGGCUCAACCCUGGGAUGCCGGUGGAUACUGUCGGGCUCGAGUCCGGAAGAGGCGAGUGGAAUUCCUGGUGUAGCGGUGAAAUGCGCAGAUAUCAGGAGGAACACCGAUUGCGAAGGCAGCUCGCUGGGACGUUACUGACGCUGAGACGCGAAAGCGUGGGGAGCAAACAGG
Molecule: ribosomal RNA, 253 nt
Filed under: uncultured bacterium
Lineage: Bacteria
Description: partial 16S ribosomal RNA
Rfam family: Bacterial small subunit ribosomal RNA
Source: RNAcentral